RNAcentral lists this unclassified non-coding RNA (296 nucleotides) under fungal sp. RNAcentral's name for it is "partial internal transcribed spacer region". The stretch from base 1 to 46 matches the Rfam family "Eukaryotic small subunit ribosomal RNA", at positions 1786 to 1831 of the family's 1831-position model. The record is from RNAcentral. Lineage: Eukaryota; Fungi.
AAGUCGUAACAAGGUAACCGUAGGUGAACCUGCGGUUGGAUCAUUAAUUAUAUCCGGUGGGGGUGAGUAGCACGGCUUGCUUGCUGACACUGUCACCCCUAUACCAAACAUUAUGUGAACCGAUCCGUCUCUGGCGAGGGGGUAGUAAUUAAAACCUACUACUUGUCAGUAAAUGCCGUGUGCAUUUGCCGUGGACACCUCGUCAACAGGUCUUACACCUUUGAUUUAUUUUGAUUGUCUGACAUAACAUGUAUAAAUAUACAAAACAACUUUUGGCAACGGAUCUCUUGGGUCUC